UAAAAGUUUGGCCCUGGCUUUUUAAUAUAAUAAGAACUAAAAAAUACACAUGGUUUCUUUUGAACGUAGUGAGGAUGAAUGAAGAAAUAUUGGUCAAUAUAUAAUUCCUGUAAUUUCUUUAUUAUUAAUAUUAUUUAAUAUAUAAUGUAUUGAAACGUCCCACUAGACACCAGUGAUUAAGAUUAAAUUAAAAGUGAAAGCUUGUUUUAGUUUAGUUCAGAGAACAGGUAAAUUUGGUGCCAGCAUCCGCGGUUAGACCAAAUGUUCGAGUUAUAUAUUUAGGUUAAAAGGUGGUUAAAUGUAGUCUUAAAUUAUAAAAUUUUAUAUAUAAAAGUAAAAUUUGAAUAUAUAAAAAAAUCCUUUUUAUGAUUAACAAUAUUGAAUCCGCGAAAAUUUUGAGGGAAACUGGGAUUAGAUACCCCAUUAUUCUUAAAAAUAAAAUUUAUAUUAUAUAUUUACCUGAGUACUAUGAAUAUCUAAUAAAUUUAAAACUCAAAGGGCUUGGCGGUGUUCUAGACUUUUUAGGGGAACCUGUCUCGUAAUCGACAAUCCACGUUAAACCUAACCUUAGUUUGUCAUAUCAGUAUGUAUACCGUCGUCGGCAGGUAACUUUUAAGAAAGUAAUAGUUAGCAAAAAAAUAAUAAUAUAUUAAGACGUCAGAUCAAGGUGCAGCUAAUACUAGGGUGAGGAUGGGUUACAAUUAUUAAUUAUAAUUACGAAUAAAAAAGUGAAAUCUUUCUUUGAAGGAGGACUUAAAAGUAAAUAUCAAAAUAAAAAGAUUUAUUGAAUAUAGCUCUGGAACGUGCACACAUCGCCCGUCGCUCUCGUUGAAAAAUGAGAUAAGUCGUAACACAGUAGGGGUAAUGGAAAUUGUCCCUAGCUGAAA
RNAcentral lists this non-coding RNA (887 nucleotides) under Onustus exutus. The record is from RNAcentral. Lineage: Eukaryota; Metazoa; Mollusca; Gastropoda; Littorinimorpha; Xenophoridae.